GUUUACAACGUCGCCAUUAUUUUGACCCAAUAGAAUACCAACGACCCGUCUUUUGGUUCCCUUGGCAGAUCGAUUAUAAGAAUCUACUGCUGACAGAAGUACUAAUGGAUGCACAAUCUAACCAAUGGUUAAUAAAAAAGUUUCUCAAAUUUUCUACUUACAACUUGCUGUGGGACGAUUGUAGAGGUUUCAGAGCUCACUGCAGGAGGCAUUAUAAC
This is a non-coding RNA of Schizosaccharomyces pombe (fission yeast), 218 nucleotides long. Lineage: Eukaryota; Fungi; Ascomycota; Schizosaccharomycetes; Schizosaccharomycetales; Schizosaccharomycetaceae. The record is from the annotation of a GenBank genome assembly.